This 1188-nucleotide ribosomal RNA is filed under the name uncultured bacterium. RNAcentral's name for it is "bacterial SSU rRNA". It matches the Rfam family "Bacterial small subunit ribosomal RNA", at positions 1 to 1190 of the family's 1533-position model. The record is from RNAcentral.
AAUAGUCCGGACCGCGGUUAACGUAGAGUUUGAUCCUGGCUCAGGACGAACGCUGGCGGCGUGCUUAACACAUGCAAGUCGAGCGAUGAAGCACCUUCGGGUGUGGAUUAGCGGCGAACGGGUGAGGAACACGUGAGGAAUCUGCCUUCCACUCUGGGAUAACUCCGGGAAACCGGGGCUAAUACCGGAUACUUUCAACUGGCGGCAUCGCCGGUUGAAGAAAGUUUUUCGGUGGAAGAUGACCUCGCGGCCUAUCAGCUUGUUGGUGAGGUAAAGGCUCACCAAGGCGACGACGGGUAGCCGGCCUGAGAGGGCGACCGGCCACACCGGGACUGAGACACGGCCCAGACUCCUACGGGAGGCAGCAGUGGGGAAUAUUGGGCAAUGGAGGAAACUCUGACCCAGCGACGCCGCGUGAGGGAUGAAGGCCUUCGGGUUGUAAACCUCUUUCAGCAGGGAAUAAGCGAAAGUGAAGGUACCUGCAGAAGAAGCACCGGCUAACUAUGUGCCAGCAGCCGCGGUAAUACAUAGGGUGCAAGCGUUGUCCGGAAUUAUUGGGCGUAAAGAGCUCGUAGGUGGUCGAUCACGUCGGAUGUGAAAUUCUGAGGCUUAACCUCGGACCUGCAUUCGAUACGGGUUGACUAGAGUGUGGUAGGGGAGACUGGAAUUCCUGGUGUAGCGGUGGAAUGCGCAGAUAUCAGGAGGAACACCGAUGGCGAAGGCAGGUCUCUGGGCCAUUACUGACACUGAGGAGCGAAAGCGUGGGGAGCGAACAGGAUUAGGUACCCUGGUAGUCCACGCCGUAAACGGUGGGCGCUAGUUGUGGGAACCUUCCACGGUUUCUGCGACGCAGCUAACGCAUUAAAGCGCCCCGCCUGGGGAGUACGGUCGCAAGACUAAAACUCAAAGAAAUUGACGGGGCCCCGCACAAGCAGCGGAGCAUGCGGCUUAAUUCGACGCAACGCGAGAACCUUACCAAGCUUGACAUAUUACAGGAUAACGGCAGAGAAUGUCGUAGCCGCAAGGUCUGUAAUACAGGUGGUGCAUGGUGUCGUCACUCGUGUCGUGAGAAUGUUGGUUAAGUUCCCGCACGAGCGCAACCCUCGUCUGUGUUACCAGCAUUAUGGGACUCACAGGAACCUGCCGGGGUUCAACUCGGGAAGGAAGGGUUGGAGAAUGACGUCUCAU